Molecule: transfer RNA, 73 nt
Filed under: Ovis aries (sheep)
Lineage: Eukaryota; Metazoa; Chordata; Mammalia; Artiodactyla; Bovidae
Rfam family: tRNA
About the family: Transfer RNA (tRNA) molecules are approximately 80 nucleotides in length. Their secondary structure includes four short double-helical elements and three loops (D, anti-codon, and T loops).
Source: Rfam by way of RNAcentral
UCCCUGAUAGCUUAGUUGGUAAAGAAUCCGCCUGCAACGCGGAAGACCAGGGUUCUGAUUCCUGGGUGGGGAA